RNAcentral lists this long non-coding RNA (1476 nucleotides) under Sus scrofa (pig). RNAcentral describes it as "lncRNA (ENSSSCG00005003423.1)". Lineage: Eukaryota; Metazoa; Chordata; Mammalia; Artiodactyla; Suidae. The record is from RNAcentral.
AGUUUUCCAGAAUAUGCUUAAUUCAACCCUGAUUAUAUAGGCAUCAAAAAAUGAGAUUUUUAGUGAACAACCUGAAAACCACAAAUAAAAUAUACAUCAAUGGAUUACACUAACAUAGGAAAAUAUGCUAACACACCAUUUCUAUGGAAAGAAUGCUCUAGGGACAAUGACUCACACUGUGCAUUGUGAAAUCAUGAAUUUUAGCAGUUUCAUUUUCUGUGAUUUUCAUUAAAAUAGCUAAGAAAGAGUAUAUGUUUGGAAAAGUAUUUCUUAAUGAUCUGUUAGACACAUCCCAGAAUGUCCUAAUGUUUUUCACAUGUGGUUCAACUGAGCCUGUGAGGUUUGAUGACACACUGUUCUGACUUAAAUGAGGGCCUCUAAAUGUAGUAUUAUUUUCCAUGUCCACUCAGGGGGCAAUUAUCCUCAUCAUGAUGGUUUAGGAAAAAGGGCUGAUUAAGAAAGUGUCUUCAGGAAGGCUGCAUGAAAUAAGCAGCCUGGUUCACAAGGAAGGAAUUUAAUUCAAGGGAAAUGAGAUGAGGCUCCCUUCCGCCUUGCCUUUCUCAAUUCCAUCCUCAAUAGUCCAUUGGUAUGGUAUAAACUAACAUUUUAGAUAAUCUCAUUUAAUCUUAAUGUAAAAUAUAGUCUGACCUUUAAUAAACUCCACUACCCCUCUGAAUAAAGUCUCCACUCCCUGACCAGGAAUGCAAGUAUGUGGUCUAGCUGUUGCCUGAAUUUUAACCUCUUGGCUCACCAGUCUGCCUGGUACUUUGAGCAGCCUGAUGUGCUAAGAACUCCUCCCUAGUCUCCUGCUCUUUCUUACUCCUUUGCCUUUGUUGAACUGACUCUUCCUGAAAUAAUUUUUUUCCUUAACACUGCUUUACCUCUCUUAUGGGUUAUUUCAAGAGUCAGAUGAUUUUCUUUCUUUUUUUUUUUUUUUUUUUUUUCGUCUUUUUUUGCCAUUUCUUGGGUCGCUCCUGUGGCAUAUGGAGGUUCCCAGGCUAGGGGUCAAAUCGGAGCUGUAGCCACUGGCCUACGCCAGAGCCACAGCAACGCGGGAUCCAAGCCGCGUCUGCGACCUACACCACAGCUCACGGCAACGCCGGAUCAUUAACCCACUGAGCAAGGGCAGAGAUCGAACCCGCACCUCAUGGUUCCUAGUCGGAUUCAUUUCCACUGCACCAUGACGGGAACUCCUGAAUUUUGUUUUUAAGUCAUUUUAAUUUCAGUUUUUAUGGCUGACAGCACAGUACAGUAGAGUGGGCAAAAUGAAUUUGGAAUCGAACAGAUCUUGGCUUCUAUCCUUCACUUAUUAACUCAGUGGUUUAAUUCUCAGCAACCUAUUUAAAUCCCCGUUCUUCUCUUUCUCAACUGUAAGAUAUGGACAGUACAGCUACCUGUUGUGAAACUUAAAUUUUUAAUAGAAUAAUGAUUCAAAACGUUAAGUCCCCAGAGUAGAAACCCAGUAAGUGGUAAGUG